CUCAUCUGUUCAAUGUCUAGUUAGCGUACAUUAUUUCAGAUGGUGUCUUGCUAGAAAGCAAAUCUGGGCAAAGUUUCUCGUUGUCGUGACAAAGUGAAGCAUUAACUCUUUCUCUCCUAUUUGUCGAUGCCAACGUUGAAUUGACUCCUUUUAACCAAAUUGAUUUUUGGAUUUAUAAACUUUGUGUUGUGUAAAAAGAACAUGCUACCUCCUAUAAUUCGAUACCAAAUAAAACACUUUCUGAUAACAAACCAAAAAGUUAUAAAAGUUUAAUCAGAACAGGAUAGUGACAUACAAAUGAGCAAAAUGAAUAUUACUAUCGGAACGAGGAAAAUAAUUACGGAGAGAAAGAGUUAAGACAGAAGCACAGUUUCAACAGCCUCUAGUGUACAGUGCUUCUCUUUGCAAUACAAAUAAUUUCAGGAACUUAAAGGGAGAAAACAUGUUCGCUUAGUGUCCACAUACACCUUGGCGUCCCCAGGUUAAGGAAGCAAACAAAAAUAAAACAAAAUACCCAACUACAUGUAUUUAAACACAGACAUAUGCACAAAUGUUUUGUAGCGCCCUGCUACUCCCAAUCUUUUCGUCUAGCAAACGUGUCAUCAUGUCCUGUACCGCGCUCCAUGAAGGGCUCUACAAGAACCAUGGUUUGUCUUGUGAAAGUGAACCUUUUUUAAACAAAUAAAAUGUAAAGUCUCUCUAUCUAGAUCUAGUCAACUAGUGUAUCACGGCAGUAGGGUUUGGUUGACAUCAAAUAGUUUACCUUCUGAAGACGCUCUUACACACACACACACUUUUUGUCCACUGAAUGUGGUUUGAAGCUAUACCAGCUGGAGUGCUCACUUUUGUUGUAGACCUCUAGAGUUCAUAGAAUAUACUCAUACUAAUGAAUCGUUUUAUGACAAAUGGGAUUGAAUAGGGUGUUCUUGUUAAUCAGCAACCUCCAUCUUCUCUACAUGUGUCCAGGACUGCUGUAAAGAUAUUUCAUGUCUGCAAUGUCCAGGACUGUUGUAAAGAUAUUUCACGUGUGCAAUGUCCCGAAGAUACUUCAACUUCAUCUUUAGACUGUUGAAAACAUUUCUCUCCAGUUCAUUGAAAGUUUCUCUACCAAAUCUAUAGUACUAGCUAAGUAGCAAGUCCGGGCAUUCUAGAGGGAAUUCUCAUACUUCAGCUAAUCAUGUUCAUUUAACAUUUCGAUUUCUUAAAGCCGGUCUAUAGAAAGAAAAAACGAUAUUGAUAAAUGUGGGAGCGAAAUAAUGGAACCUAAAGAAAAGAGGAAGAUGGGGGGGGGGGGAGAUUUUGAACAAAAUAAACCAAUGAGGCUAUGAUGAUCUUUGUUGCCAACUAAAUACACACAUUACUGAAUGCUAAAGGGCUUAGAAAUUCUAUUAGGCGGUGCUAGAAAGACUUAGUAAGAUAAGAUGAUCUUGGUCCACCAUUAGAAAUUCUGAGAACCACUGACUUUGUUAUAAAAUCUAGGUACACCAUUAGAAAUUCUGAGAACCACUGACUUUGUUAUAAAAGCUAGGUACAACUUUAGAAAUUCUGAGAACCACUGACUUUGUUAUAAAAUCUAGGUACGCCUUUAGAAAUUUUGAGAACCACUGACUUUGUUAUAAAAUCUAGGUACGCCUUUAGAAAUUUUGAGAACCACUGACUUUGUUUUAAAAUCUAGGUACACCAUUAGAAAUUCUGAGAACCACUGACUUUGUUAUAAAAUCUAGGUACACCAUUAGAAAUUCUGAGAACCACUGACUUUGUAAGAAGACGUAUGGGUACAUGUAUCGGGGACCCGGUUAGGGAGAUAGAGAGAUAGUUAGGGAGAUAGUUAGAGAGAUAGUUAGUGAGGUAGUUAGGGAGAUAGUUAGGGAGGUAGUUAGGGAGGUAGUUAGGGAGAUAGUUAUUUAGGUGAAGAGAGAAAAGAAUUAACAAAAGUUUUAACCCUCAAUCAUGAACAUAUUAGUCACACAAUAUAUCAAGCAAUACUACACAGUAUAAUUCACAUUCAAUAUAACUUCACAAAAGUAGACUCAACAUGAAGCUUUAAACUUUUCAACUAAACUGACUAAUUUGUGGAGCCUGAAACAAACUUCUGUUUCAAUGUUUUCAAACCAAAAGUUAUCGUAGCGGGCAGAACAAAAACUUGUAUCUUCUAAUGAACUCUUGUUACAUGUUUACUCAUCUGUACAGAAUCUUCCAGAAACCAAUGUGUAUGUAAACUCCCUGUUAGCACUUCUCAUGGGACCUUGACGCAGUACACCAGGUGACACUCACACCUAAAACUGAUGAACUCUGAUGCAGGAUACGUGAUUGAAUUGCACGCUCAUCACAUCCAAACCUUUCAGUAGUCACGUGUCGGUUUUAGCUUUCACCAUAUCAUUUCCUACCAUUGCAGAGGCGAGUCAAGGGAGGCAAUAAGAAUACAAAGUAAACGCUUCUCAAAACAACGCUUGUAUUCAUACGCACUCAAAAGUAGAAAAACAAAAGUGUUGGGUAUGUUUAGUUGAUUUCAAACAAAAAGUGUUGGGUAUGUUUAGUUGAUUUCAAAUGAAAUUCAAACCGGCAUAUUGGUCUGUAUCUCGUUAUAAUGUACACUUGUGGUUGAGUAUGUCACAAUAUUUUUUGUAGAAAUAAAAUACCUUCUGAAAAGUGUGAUUAAGACUAUCGGUAUACUAAUUUACAAAUUCAUUACAAAGUCUUUUUAUAAUUGAUUAAUGUACACUUUUUGAUACAAUCCAAGCAAUAAUAUACAGUCUUUGCAUUAACAUUAAUUUUUUUUUCUAGAGCUAUCUUUCAAUUCUUAUCAUCUAAUUCUCACUAUGCAUAUUUUCUUAACUAAGUCCCCUUUAGCUAAGUCCAGUCCUAUUUAGCUAAGAAAUUUUAAUUCUCUAUACAAAGCAUAUCUCCCUAAGCUUACCGUGUUUAUUUAACUAGAUCUAGUAUCAGUACAAACUUUGCCUGAACUAGUUGUGUUAGUCAUUCUUUAAAACGACUUGGGAAAGUAUGAAAGAAAGUAUAAUAUGAUGAUAGUGGAGUGGCAUACCAUGGGAUGUGAUGAUAGUGGAGUGGUAUAACAUGGGAUGUGAUGAUAGUGGAGUGGUAUACCAUGGGGUGUGAUGAUAGUGGAGUGGUAUAACAUGGGAUGUGAUGAUAGUGGAGUGGUAUACCAUGGGAUGUGAUGAUAGUGGAGUGGUAUACCAUGGGAUGGGAUGAUAGUGGAGUGGCAUACCAUGGGAUGGGAUGAUAGUGGAGUGGUAUACCAUAGGAUGUGAUGAUAGUGGAGUGGGAUAACAUGGGAUGUGAUGAUAUUGGAGUGGUAUACCAUGGGAUGUGAUGAUAGUGGAGUGGUAUAACAUGGGAUGUGAUGAUAAUGGAGUGGUAUACCAUGGGAUGUGAUGAUAGUGGAGUGGUAUACCCUGGGAUGUGAUGAUAGUUGAGUGGUAUAACAUGGGAUGUGAUGAUAUUGGAGUGGUAUAACAUGGGAUGUGAUGAUAGUGGAGUGGUAUACCAUGGGAUGUGAUGAUAGUGGAGUGGUAUAAUAUGGGAUGUGAUGAUAGUGGAGUGGUAUAAUAUGGGAUGUGAUGAUAGUGGAGUGGUAUAACAUGGGAUGUGAUGAUAGUGGAGUGGUAUAACAUGGGAUGUGAUGAUAGUGGAGUGGUAUAACAUGGGAUGUGAUGAUAAGGGAGUGGUAUACCAUGGGAUGUGAUGAUAGUGGAGUGGUAUAACAUGGGAUGUGAUGAUAUUGGAGUGGUAUACCAUGGGAUGUGAUAUUAUUCUAGUUGUACAGCAUGGAAUAGUGAAGGUCAUCAUUUGUGGGCUUAAGAGACUCAAAUCAGUUCUUUAAAAAAAAACUUGAUAAAAAGCUAGUGGUCUUGUCAAGAACAAUGGGCUUCAGAGACCUGUCUCAUCUACUGUGCCUUAACAUCACAUUGAUAGUAUGUCAUUACAUCACAUCGACUGUGUGUCAUUACAUCACAUCGACUGUGUGUCAUUACAUCACAUCGACUGUGUGUCUUUACAUCACAUCGACUGUGUGUCAUUACAUCACAUCGACUGUGUGUCAUUACAUCACAUCGACUGUGUGUCAUUACAUCACAUCGACUGUGUGUCAUUACAUCACAUCGACUGUGUGUCUUUACAUCAUAUCGACUGUGUGUCUUUACAUCACAUCGACUGUGUGUCAUUACAUCACAUCGACUGUGUGUCUUUACAUCACAUCGACUGUGUGUCUUUACAUCACAUCUACCGUGAGGCUUUACAACAUACCUAUGUGGCUUCCCAUCAUGAACUGAUUUAUCUCUAACCAACGUGACUCAGCUUUGUUACAUUCCUAGUCAGACUUCCGAAUUGAUCGAUAGUUCUAUUCUCUCUCUCUCUCUCUCUCUUUCUCUCAUAGGAUGUGUUAACAGAUAGCUGUGUAUAACUGUUUCUCUACUUGACGUUAGUGACGAGACAUCGUGUGGAAUGUUUCACUCAAACAGCAAGUGUGUGUCAAUUGGUUUGAAUGCUAGAAUUAGAUUCAGAUUUAUAGCUACCGACACUUAUUUGGUCACUAGACCCCAGAGCUAUUAAUAAGGGGCUUGUCUUCGAGUCUGAAGAUUAGGGAAAUGCAAAUACAUGUGUAUUGUUACAGCUAGUCCAAGAUGGACAUCAGUUUGUAGUCCAUAAGAUUCAAUUUGUUUUCACGGAUUCAUUUCCAAAGAACUAAAUGCAGCUGGAUCCAAUAAGAUCUGCUUCCAAUGUGUCUUUUAAAUGCAUUCAACUUAGUGUCAACUACUUUCAGAGAAGGCAUUGAGUAGAUUGUGUAGAAACUACUUUCAGAGUACGCAUUGAGUAGAUUGUGUAGAAACUACUUUCAGAGCACGCAUUGAGUAGAUUGUGUAGAAACUACUUUCAGAGUACGCAUUGAGUAGAUUGUGUAGAAACUACUUUCAGAGUAGGCAUUGAGUAGAUUGUGUAGAAACUACUUACAGAGUACGCAUUGAGUAGAUUGUGUAGAAACUACUUUCAGAGUACGCAUUGAGUAGAUUGUGUAGAAACUACUUUCAGAGCACGCAUUGAGUAGAUUGUGUAGAAACUACUUUCAGAGCACGCAUUGAGUAGAUUGUGUAGAAACUACUUUCAGAGCACGCAUUGAGUAGAUUGUGUAGAAACUACUUUCAGAGUACGCAUUGAGUAGAUUGUGUAGAAACUACUUUCAGAGCACGCAUUGAGUAGAUUGUGUAGAAACUACUUUCAGAGCACGCAUUGAGUAGAUUGUGUAGAAACUACUUUCAGAGCACGCAUUGAGUAGAUUGUGUAGAAACUACUUUCAGAGCACGCAUUGAGUAGAUUGUGUAGAAACUACUUUCAGAGCACGCAUUGAGUAGAUUGUGUAGAAACUACUUUCAGAGCACGCAUUGAGUAGAUUGUGUAGAAACUACUUUCAGAGCACGCAUUGAGUAGAUUGUGUAGAAACUACUUUCAGAGCACGCAUUGAGUAGAUUGUGUAGAAACUACUUUCAGAGCACGCAUUGAGUAGAUUGUGUAGAAACUACUUUCAGAGCACGCAUUGAGUAGAUUGUGUAGAAACUACUUUCAGAGCACGCAUUGAGUAGAUUGUGUAGAAACUGUAUCGGUGUGUGUACAUGAACUGGGCUGUGCUAUCGAUGUGUCUCAUUGAUCUGUCUGCUCUACUUGAAGGAUUCAGUCAAUCCCAACAUCGAGAGACAGACAAGAUCAAUGCUAGAGCGUGUGUAGAAGCAGGAGAGAGACAUAUUUCAAUCUGAUGUGCUCUUAUGUCUGUAUGUUUUCACACGAUUGGAUACUUGUUCACUGCAUUUGUUUUCUUGAAUGUAACUGAUUUGAUUCGUAAACUAGUCGAGUGCACUCUUGAAUCUAAGUUUUGAUGGGAAUCAAUGAUGAGUUGUCCUGGGAGCAAUGAAGGACAGGGAAAACCCAAAGAACGGAGAAUUAAUAUUCAAGACAAUCGUCACAGAGAUGGACCUUGUGGAAAACGAUGUUUUGUGGUGGCAACAGUGUCUUUGUUUUUAUUUCUGACCUUCGUAGCCCUGCCGGCCGGGGCUUUUUUAAUCAUUCAUGGUCGUCACCAGAACAGCAUUGCUUUCCAGUUAGGUGGCGCUGCUGUUGUUUGCAUUCCCAUUCUUGCUGCCAUCAUUCUUGCUAUAGUGUUUUUUGUAAGGAGAAACAGGCGCAAAGCAACAUUCACUAGUGUCAGUACAGCCAGGGUAUAAGUGUAGUUGGAGGACUUCGCAGGAUACAACAGAAGCACUCAUAUAGAGUCACAUUGAUAUUGUGCCAGGAUAUAACAGAAGCACUCGUAGAGUCAACAUGAUUUUGUAGAAAAUGUCAUUACACUGACAAGCAUCAUGAAGUUCUUGACACUAGCUAAGUGCUUUAGCCUUGUAACCACAAACACAAUAGGUCCAAAUAAAAGAAGUGGAUUAUUGAAUGUAAUUCAACAAAUUGUUGCCUGUUUGGACUCAUGAAUGAACUACCAUUCUGAUGUGUCAUUAAUAUUUGCCAUCCAUCCUUCCUUUAGUUCCUGCAUGUGUCAGCCUGUGACAUUCAGCCACUAGUCUCAUUAGUAGGCUGUCUGUGCAUUGAACUUCUACAUUGUAAGCUGUCUGUGCAUUGAACUUCUACAUUGUUCUCUGAACUGAGAUUAGGAAUCCAAGAACUUCAACUGAGAAUGUCCAGAGUAGAGUGUUACCCCUUCACUGCUCAAGAAUGAGGGAGGACCUAGCAGUACAAUGUUAUUGUGAAAUAGGAAAUCUCAUUUUUUACCUUUAAUUAUUUUAUCACUUUGUGACAUUUUGUGUAAAUAUUUUUAGUAACUUUUGUUACAGUGACCUGGAUUUUAAAUUAUUUGUAAUCUAUGUAAAAUACAACUUAAUAUGUUCUGAUAAAAACAUUUUCCUGACAAAAGUAUUUCAUGAAAAUGAUGAAGAUCUCCAGACUACACAAUUUAGACCAGGAUUAGAGUUUCUCCUGAGCCUACUUAGCUUGCUGUUUGGGGUAAAUAAAAGUUUCCUAAUACUGUACAAAUUGUGUACAUUGAAGAAAAUAAGCUUUGUGUGUAUGUAUAUAUAUAUAAAUGAAAAAAUAAAGAAAAUUCAAUUCUUCAAAAGUUUCAGAACCACUGGUCUCCCCCACUUGAUGAUAUGUUUUGUUUUUUAUUUUGUUCUUUGGUUUUGUUUUUUUUUUUAAUUCUGUGAAAACUUAACUUUGACUAAAAUCAACUUACAAACAUCCAUUAGAUCUUUAUUUUCUAUUGUAAUGAAGAAAGUAAUAAUUUUUGUAUUUGAACUGUCUCAGAUUGUACUGCUGACACGACCAAGUGAAAUUAGCAGCUACUUCUGACCAGGUCUGAACAGUGUAGUGCUAAUGUGCAAUGCUGUAGGUCCACAUGUUUUAUUUGACCUGCAAUAUGUUACAUUACACUUUUAUUUCGGGUUUCAAUUCAAGACAAAACUUUGAGUUAUUUCAGAGUUUUAUCAGAUGCAUUUAAAGCAUGACUUUGUAUGUUUGGUUUGAAUUGAUGAGUUACAUAGUCAUGACAUGAUACCACUAGAUAGGCUUCAUGGAAGAAGAGUGUCUUGGAAUGUCUGUGUCAGGAUGUUUGUGUCUGUGCUUUGCAUGUCAUCAUAUCAUUAUUGUUUGUAUUAGCACCCCAUGCCAGUCAGCACAUGUAUUAGCACCCCAUGCCAGUCAGCACAUACUAGAUUUGUUAUUCUUAGAGUCAGUUCCCAGGCUUUAUGUUUCUACAUCAUGUGUUAAAUGUUGACCUUUUUAUUAAUCCUAAGGACAACGAGUUGGUAAAUGGUACAAUACAACAAUCAAUGGACUCCUCUCUCAGUAGUGUAGUCACACCAUGAAACCCAAGAGAUCUAUGAGUAUGUACCAAGACAUAAACAUAGAGCAUGACUUUGUGUAAGUUCUGUUUUCACUUUGACUCAGUUCUCAAUUGAUUUAGUCAGCAAAUAGCUCAAAGUAUUUGCCAGUUUCAACUUCUGAAAUGCUAGACCAGAAGUCAAUUCUGUUUCACUAGUCUACCUAGUUGUGUGUGUAUCUGUCCAGUGUUUAGGCUAGUUGUACUUAACACUUGCUAUUUCUAAUCUUACUUGUACUGCACUGGCACAGUUAGUCACUGUUCUCUUACCAAAUCUUUGGUCACAUAGAAACCUUAUGUUUUUUUUUUUUUUUUUUAUCUCUUGUUUACAUUUAUUUUUGUAUUUCAUGCAACAACUUUGUUUAGAUCUAGAUGGAGCAAUGUCUUCAAAUUUAUUUCCAAACCUUUGAACCUGACACACUAUGUUGACUACAUUUACAAGAAUAAAAAUGUUUUGUUUUA
Biomphalaria glabrata is the source of this 8353-nucleotide RNA transcript. RefSeq lists it as uncharacterized. The record is from RefSeq and is a predicted model, not a curated record. The transcript is spliced from 4 exons. NCBI's taxonomy places the organism in Eukaryota, Metazoa, Mollusca, Gastropoda, Planorbidae.